Molecule: long non-coding RNA, 1111 nt
Organism: Oncorhynchus tshawytscha (Chinook salmon)
Lineage: Eukaryota; Metazoa; Chordata; Actinopteri; Salmoniformes; Salmonidae
Source: Ensembl
GACUUGUACUUUAUGCAGGUGUGUGAUCAGGGGCUGUAGCUGGUGGUCUGUGAGUUGACAGUGGCUGAGGUCCAGUUCUGACAGACCCUCUGAGUGUUCCAGAACCAGGGCCAGAGAUCCACAGGCCUUCUGGUCCAGCCUGGUCUCACUGAGGUCCAGCUCCCCAUCCAGGGCUCUGCAUAGGGACUCUGCAUGCCUUAGCAGCCCCUCUUCAAUCCCCUCACAUACAAGGUCCAGCAGCUGAAGUAGCAGAGCUUUGCUGGGACUGAGAGGACAAGAAGCAGAGUCAACAUUAUGACACAGAUCUCUUAGGAUGAUCUGGACCUGGUUCUGAACCAGCUGGGUGCCGAGUUGGUUCUGCUUCAGAACAGAGUUGAUGGCCUUGCAAUGGUCAGUGGUCAGACACAGAGCCUCCCCCUGGUCCUGAGCUGACAGGUCCACAGAGGAGGAGCAGGAGAAGUCCAGUCUGUGGUGCAGAGACCUGAGCAGCCAUACUGCUGUUGGUGGUGAUGAUGGUGCCCCCUGCUGGAUCUGAGAGGCAGCACAGCACUGGAGGAAACUCAGCAGUAACCUCCUGUCAACACUACAGAGAGAGAGAGAGAAACAGAGAAAGAGUGUGUGUGAGAGAGAGAGAGAGACUUAUUUACACACCAUCACACAUUAAAACACUGAUAAACACACUACAACUCUGGUUAUCAGGUCAACUCCCAGGAGUUCCCCUUCAAUUCCACCACUAGCCGAGGUUAAGGUUAGUACAUUACACUAAGGUUAGGGUAAGAGGUUAAAUCAGUCAGGAAGUGGAAAGCCUCAUAGUUCUAUCCAUUCUAGCAGGGUCAAAGAGUGCCAACUAAACCUGAGUUGGGAGACUCUGUCCAGAAGAGGCAGGAUGCUCUCUAUCUCCCCCGGUGGUAUGGAGGUCCACAGCAGGUUGACUUUGACUUGGUGGCUGUGCUGCAGGGUAAAACACAGAGCGGUACAGUCCACUCUGUCCAGCUCUCUGCUGUUCAGGUUGAUCCAAUGGUCUGAAGACCUCAACAAACUGGACACACAGUCACUGGCUCUACUGUCAUAGAUCUGUCUGAUGGAGGACUUUACAAAGCUGGAACUGGAC